UACGUAUGGUGCAAGCGUUAUCCGGAUUUACUGGGUGUAAAGGGAGCGCAGGCGGCACGGCAAGCCUGAUGUGAAAGCCCGCGGCCCAACCGCGGGACUGCAUUGGGAACUACCGGGCUGGAGUGCCGGAGAGGUAGGCGGAAUUCCUAGUGUAGCGGUGAAAUGCGUAGAUAUUAGGAGGAACACCGGUGGCGAAGGCGGCCUACUGGACGGUGACUGACGCUGAGGCUCGAAAGCGUGGGGAGCAAACAGG
Molecule: ribosomal RNA, 253 nt
Filed under: uncultured bacterium
Lineage: Bacteria
Description: partial 16S ribosomal RNA
Rfam family: Bacterial small subunit ribosomal RNA
Source: RNAcentral